GAUGAAGAACGUAGCGAAAUGCGAUAAGUAAUGUGAAUUGCAGAAUUCAGUGAAUCAUCGAAUCUUUGAACGCACAUUGCGCCCGCCAGUAUUCUGGCGGGCAUGCCUGUCUGAGCGUCAUUUCAACCCUCAUGCCCCUAGGGCGUGGUGUUGGGGAUCGGCCAAAGCCCGCGAGGGACGGCCGGCCCCUAAAUCUAGUGGCGGACCCGUCGUGGCCUCCUCUGCGAAGUAGUGAUAUUCCGCAUCGGAGAGCGACGAGCCCCUGCCGUUAAACCCCCAACUUUCCAAGGUUGACCUCAGAUCAGGUAGGAAUACCCGCUGAACUUAAGCAUAUCAAUAAGCGGA
This 345-nucleotide unclassified non-coding RNA is filed under the name soil metagenome. Its description in RNAcentral is "partial contains 5.8S ribosomal RNA, internal transcribed spacer 2, and large subunit ribosomal RNA". The stretch from base 1 to 120 matches the Rfam family "5.8S ribosomal RNA", at positions 35 to 154 of the family's 154-position model. The record is from RNAcentral.